GGUGUAUAGACGCCAGUAGGUGGAUUGCUAGGCUUGAGGAGAGAUGAAGGACGUGGCAAGCUGCGAUAAGCCCGGGGUAGGCGCACGCGACCUAUGAUCCCGGGAUGUCCGAAUGAGAAUCUUGUGUUUACACACUCCGUUACAAUGGUGACGGAGAUCGAACCGUCGGAAUUGAAGCAUCUUAGUACGACGAGGAAAAGAAAUCAAUUGAGAUUUCCCAAGUAGCGGCGAGCGAAAAGGAAACAGCCCAAACUGAAUCUGUUAUGGUAACAUAACAGAGAUGUGGUGUUUUGGUUAUGGUAUUACGAUCCUAGAACACAACCGAAAUGUUCUGGAACGUACUGGCAAAGUGGGUGAUACCCCCGUAAGUUAAAUGGUAUAGGAUCUUACCAUAACCCGAGUAGCUGUCCUUGGCAGUGGGCAGUGAAUAUAGGUGAAAGUAGUAUCUGAGGCUAAAUAUUUCUCAAGACCGAUAGUGUACUAGUACCGUGAGGGAAAACUGAAAAGUACCCCGGAAGGGGGCUGAAAAGUGCAUGAAACCUACUGGUUACAGACGUGCAUGGCAUGAAAGGUGAUUUUUCCAUACCGGAGGUUCUAGCAAUAGAGCUAAAAGUGUGGAGGUCAAAUCAUCAGUGUCAUGCGUUCCGUCUCGAAACACGGGCCAGGGAGCUUACUGUCAUGGCAAGCCUAAGCCCUUAAAGGUGAAGGCGAAGGGAAACCGAAUUCUCGCAGCUUAUGUGAGGAGAAGCGUGUGAAAGUGCGUUAAGUCAUGGCGGCAAGGCUAGAAUCCAGUCGAUCUAUUCCUGAGCAAGCUGAAGGCGGGCGAAAGC
This 830-nucleotide ribosomal RNA is filed under the name uncultured marine thaumarchaeote AD1000_66_F10. RNAcentral's name for it is "bacterial LSU rRNA". It matches the Rfam family "Archaeal large subunit ribosomal RNA", at positions 1 to 838 of the family's 2987-position model. Lineage: Archaea; Thermoproteati; Nitrososphaerota. The record is from RNAcentral.